AUUAAUAUCUGCAUUGGUGAAGUGUGAACCAUGAUAUCCACUAUACAGGAUGCUAUGGAAAUAUAAUGAGAUGAUACAUGGGAAAGCAAUUUUUUAAAUGUGAAAACAUCAUCAACACGUUCAUAGUUCAUCUUUGAAACAAACGGAGAGGUGGAAAGAAUGUGGAAAAGAACAGCUUCAAGGAUGAUUCUCCAUUGGAAGGGGUCGGAAUCCUGAAUAUUUUCUUAGCUUUACUUCUCAAUAAUAUCAAAGCAUGGAAUGGGAAUGUAUCCAGAGCAAAAAUAGCCACAUCUGUGUUAAUGUCAAAGUCUCAUCAACUGGACUUGGGAGAGAAAGAGAAAGCACUCAGACUGUCAGCUGGAGCAAAGGAAUAGCCGUUCCCCAUGACUGGAGCUCACAGGCCAGUGUACCUGAGAUUCGUGCAGAAGAGAAGAAGGCCUAAGGAGAGUCACAGCUUCGUGUUUUGCUAUCCCUGGGCACCUCAGGCUCAUUUCUUGGUUUCCCCAACUCCAUUCAUACUCCUUGUAAAUUUAAAGUCCCUUGCAUUGAAGAUGUACAAACAUCAGUGACAGAGAUGCCGUCACCCUUGUUUCGAACUUGAACUUAGUUUGAACUUCUCCAUGGACAGCUCAACAGGCAUCCAUCUCCCCUACUCCAUCUGCAUGUGGCAACUGCCCCAUAAUUUCGACUUGGGUCUGCAGUCCUGGUGGGGCACCCAGUCCUGGUGUUUUAUCCUCUUCUGACAAAGGGUUGGACACAUAGCCCAUGACUGACCAAUCAGAUGCCCUUCCUAGAACAUGAAUCUUGAACAAAAUGACUCAGAAAGACUUGCAACCAUUUUAUCAUAUUCAUCUGGGUGGUACUCUCCUGAAAAGACUUCCCAUAGUUGUUGCUCCCUAGAUCUGGUGAGCUGCUCUGGGACCUGCCCUUUCCCAUGCGGAGUUCUUUAGAUCUUUCUCUGAAUUUGUGAGAUUCCUAUAUCCUUGCAGCAACAUUGUUUUUUAUAAAGUUACCAGCUUUGAUUUCUCCAAUUUACCACCAAAAAAAACUCUAACCAAGAAAUACACAAGUAUUAUUGUUUACAGAGAUUGAAACUGACACUUACUGAGAUUACGUGACUUGCCCAAGAUCAUCCAGGCAAUAUAAAGACAUAUCACUAAAGUUUGUGCUUAAUUUUAAUCAACUCUCUUCUCAGUCUCUCUAUAUAGAUAUAUAGAUGUGUGUGCUUUCUUAUAUGUAUUCUUCCACAGUUGAGAUACAAUUAUAUUCACAAUUUUAAUUAUUUUCAGCCUUUAUUUUGCCACAUGAUACAAUCACUGUAGAAAAUUUCAAAAUUACUGUAAAGGACAAAGAAGGUAAAACUUACCCAUUAUUCCGAA
Non-coding RNA from Vicugna pacos (alpaca), 1379 nucleotides. NCBI's taxonomy places the organism in Eukaryota, Metazoa, Chordata, Mammalia, Artiodactyla, Camelidae. The record is from RefSeq and is a predicted model, not a curated record.